This 253-nucleotide ribosomal RNA is filed under the name uncultured bacterium. RNAcentral's name for it is "partial 16S ribosomal RNA". It matches the Rfam family "Bacterial small subunit ribosomal RNA", at positions 524 to 776 of the family's 1533-position model. The record is from RNAcentral.
UACGUAGGGUGCAAGCGGUAAUCGGAAUUACUGGGCGUAAAGCGUGCGCAGGCGGUUUUGUAAGUCUGAUGUGAAAUCCCCGGGCUCAACCUGGGAAUUGCAUUGGAGACUGCAAGGCUAGAAUCUGGCAGAGGGGGGUAGAAUUCCACGUGUAGCAGUGAAAUGCGUAGAGAUGUGGAGGAACACCGAUGGCGAAGGCAGCCCCCUGGGUCAAGAUUGACGCUCAUGCACGAAAGCGUGGGGAGCAAACAGG